AUGCCGACCACCAUGAUGGGGAAUGCGGAACUGCGGCGGCUGGGCCGACGCCUCCCCUCGCCCCUCUCCCUCCGGCGGCUCCCACCGCACCGGAGGCGGCGGCGCGCCAGGACUAGUGGGCCAAGCGGAGGCCUUUCCAGCACCAGGCCCAAUGCUGCUCGGGGCUUCUUAAGUCAUGCCUUGGGCGUAAUACCAGCCCAGGCCCAGGCCCAAUGUUGCGAACUCGAGGUUGCCUACCGUCUCCUUUCAAAGGCGAAAGCUUGCGCGGGCGUCAGAUAUACAACCUCCGCCUCACCGUCUUCUUCCUCGCCCUCUUCUUCACCCUUCUCGGAGCGGAGAAGCUUGCGCAGGCAUCAUAUACAGCCCCCGCCUCGUCCCCUUCCUCGGUCUGCUGAACCCUUCCUCGAUGUGCUGAACCCUUCCUGGAGCGGAGAAAGACCAGGGUCAAAUGUGGAUUAG
This 459-nucleotide ribosomal RNA is filed under the name Triticum aestivum (bread wheat). RNAcentral's name for it is "partial small subunit ribosomal RNA". Lineage: Eukaryota; Viridiplantae; Streptophyta; Magnoliopsida; Poales; Poaceae. The record is from RNAcentral.